CAACCCCUACGGGGCGCAGCAGUAGGGAAUAUUGCUCAAUGGGGGAAACCCUGAAGCAGCAACGCCGCGUGGAGGAUGAAGGUUUUCGGAUUGUAAACUCCUUUUGUUAGAGAAGAUAAUGACGGUAUCUAACGAAUAAGCACCGGCUAACUCCGUGCCAGCAGCCGCGGUAAUACGGAGGGGGCAAGCGUUACUCGGAAUCACUGGGCGUAAAGAGCGCGUAGGCGGGAUGGCAAGUCAGCGGUGAAAUCCUAUGGCUUAA
RNAcentral lists this ribosomal RNA (262 nucleotides) under uncultured bacterium. RNAcentral describes it as "partial 16S ribosomal RNA". It matches the Rfam family "Bacterial small subunit ribosomal RNA", at positions 333 to 612 of the family's 1533-position model. The record is from RNAcentral.